UGUCCACAUCACGUUGAAACACCAGUUCCUGUGCGAUCACCGAAGGUAAGCAAUGUCGAGCCUGGUAAGUACCUAGAUGAGUGACCACUUGGGAAUACCAGGUGCU
Molecule: non-coding RNA, 106 nt
Organism: Acanthosepion pharaonis
Lineage: Eukaryota; Metazoa; Mollusca; Cephalopoda; Sepiida; Sepiidae
Source: the annotation of a GenBank genome assembly